RNAcentral lists this ribosomal RNA (301 nucleotides) under uncultured bacterium. Its description in RNAcentral is "partial 16S ribosomal RNA". It matches the Rfam family "Bacterial small subunit ribosomal RNA", at positions 509 to 807 of the family's 1533-position model. The record is from RNAcentral.
CAGUAGCCGCGGUAAUACGGAGGGUGCAAGCGUUAAUCGGAAUUACUGGGCGUAAAGCGCACGCAGGCGGUCUGUCAAGUCGGAUGUGAAAUCCCCGGGCUCAACCUGGGAACUGCAUCCGAAACUGGCAGGCUAGAGUCUUGUAGAGGGGGGUAGAAUUCCAGGUGUAGCGGUGAAAUGCGUAGAGAUCUGGAGGAAUACCGGUGGCGAAGGCGGCCCCCUGGACAAAGACUGACGCUCAGGUGCGAAAGCGUGGGGAGCAAACAGGAUUAGAUACCCCAGUAGUCCCUGUCUCUUAUAC